AACAAACGCUGGCGGCAUGCCUAACACAUGCAAGUCGAACGAGACCUUCGGGUCUAGUGGCGCACGGGUGCGUAACGCGUGGGAAUCUGCCCUUGGGUUCGGAAUAACAGUUGGAAACGACUGCUAAUACCGGAUGAUGACGUAAGUCCAAAGAUUUAUCGCCCAAGGAUGAGCCCGCGUAGGAUUAGCUAGUUGGUGAGGUAAAGGCUCACCAAGGCGACGAUCCUUAGCUGGUCUGAGAGGAUGAUCAGCCACACUGGGACUGAGACACGGCCCAGACCCCUACGGGAGGCAGCAGGGGGGAAUAUUGCAAAAUGGGCGAAAGCCUGAUCCAUCAAUGCCGCGUGAGUGAAGAGGGCCUUAGGGUUGUAAAGCUCUUUUACCCGGGAUGAAAAUGACAGUACCGGGAAAAUAAGCCCCGGCUAACCCCGUG
Molecule: ribosomal RNA, 433 nt
Filed under: uncultured bacterium
Lineage: Bacteria
Description: partial 16S ribosomal RNA
Rfam family: Bacterial small subunit ribosomal RNA
Source: RNAcentral